UACGUAGGGUGCGAGCGUUAAUCGGAAUUACUGGGUGUAAAGUGUGCGCAGGCGGCCGCGCAAGUCGAGUGUGAAAGCCCCGGGCUUAACUUGGGAAUUGCGCUCGAAACUACUUUGCUGGAGUGUGGCAGAGGAAGGUGGAAUUCCACGUGUAGCGGUGAAAUGCGUAGAGAUGUGGAGGAACACCAAUGGCGAAGGCAGCCUUCUGGGCCAACACUGACGCUCAUGCACGAAAGCGUGGGGAGCAAACAGG
Molecule: ribosomal RNA, 253 nt
Filed under: uncultured bacterium
Lineage: Bacteria
Description: partial 16S ribosomal RNA
Rfam family: Bacterial small subunit ribosomal RNA
Source: RNAcentral